RNAcentral lists this transfer RNA (58 nucleotides) under Songthela hangzhouensis. RNAcentral describes it as "tRNA-Val". The record is from RNAcentral. Lineage: Eukaryota; Metazoa; Arthropoda; Arachnida; Araneae; Liphistiidae.
UAGAAUAGAGCUAUUAGCAUCUUACUUACAUUAAGAAAAUCCUUUAAAGGUAUUCUAU